GGCAUGGCGCAGCUACACAUGCAGUCGAGCGGAUGAGAGGAGCUUGCUCCUUGAUUUAGCGGCGGACGGGUGAGUAAUGCCUAGGAAUCUGCCUGGUAGUGGGGGAUAACGUCCGGAAACGGGCGCUAAUACCGCAUACGUCCUACGGGAGAAAGCAGGGGACCUUCGGGCCUUGCGCUAUCAGAUGAGCCUAGGUCGGAUUAGCUAGUUGGUGAGGUAAUGGCUCACCAAGGCGACGAUCCGUAACUGGUCUGAGAGGAUGAUCAGUCACACUGGAACUGAGACACGGUCCAGACUCCUACGGGAGGCAGCAGUGGGGAAUAUUGGACAAUGGGCGAAAGCCUGAUCCAGCCAUGCCGCGUGUGUGAAGAAGGUCUUCGGAUUGUAAAGCACUUUAAGUUGGGAGGAAGGGCAGUAAGCUAAUACCUUGCUGUUUUGACGUUACCGACAGAAUAAGCACCGGCUAACUUCGUGCCAGCAGCCGCGGUAAUACGAAGGGUGCAAGCGUUAAUCGGAAUUACUGGGCGUAAAGCGCGCGUAGGUGGUUCGUUAAGUUGGAUGUGAAAGCCCCGGGCUCAACCUGGGAACUGCAUCCAAAACUGGCGAGCUAGAGUACGGUAGAGGGUGGUGGAAUUUCCUGUGUAGCGGUGAAAUGCGUAGAUAUAGGAAGGAACACCAGUGGCGAAGCGACCACCUGGACUGAUACUGACACUGAGGUGCGAAAGCGUGGGGAGCAAACAGGAUUAGAUACCCUGGUAGUCCACGCCGUAACGAUGUCAACUAGCCGUUGGGUCCUUGAGACUUAGUGGCGCAGCUAACGCAUAAGUUGACCGCCUGGGGAGUACGCCGCAAGUUAAACUCAAGAUGACGAUCACUAGUGCGGCGCCUGCAGUCGACAUAUGGGAAGCUCCAACGGUGAUGCUAGCUGGAAUUCUUAUGUCACUAAUAGCUGGCGUAUCAUGGCUAGCCGUUUCCUGAA
This 979-nucleotide ribosomal RNA is filed under the name uncultured bacterium. RNAcentral describes it as "bacterial SSU rRNA". It matches the Rfam family "Bacterial small subunit ribosomal RNA". The record is from RNAcentral.